This 309-nucleotide unclassified non-coding RNA is filed under the name Hevea brasiliensis (rubber tree). Lineage: Eukaryota; Viridiplantae; Streptophyta; Magnoliopsida; Malpighiales; Euphorbiaceae. The record is from RNAcentral.
CCAUCAUUUAUCUUAUUUUUCUCUCAAAUAAUAUAAUAUUUAUAUUACUUUACCUUACUUUACUUUAAAAAAAACCUUACCUUACCUAGUUACACUCUCUUUCAAAUAAAGUGCUCAGGAAUAUUAAGCUUGAGGUGUUUGAUUAUUGUCCCCUCUAGAGUUAGAGUAUGAUUGUGUGCAGCUCCCCUCUACUCUAACAGCUUGUUUGGAAAGAAGUUUUUGAAGGUAAGAGAUGAAUUUUUACUUGCUUGUUUGGAAGGAAAGUUUUCUUAAAGAGAUAAGGUUUUUGAAGGUUUUAAAACCUUCAAA